Molecule: ribosomal RNA, 301 nt
Filed under: uncultured bacterium
Lineage: Bacteria
Description: partial 16S ribosomal RNA
Rfam family: Bacterial small subunit ribosomal RNA
Source: RNAcentral
CAGCAGCCGCGGGAAUACGGAGGGUGCAAGCGUUAAUCGGAAUUACUGGGCGUAAAGCGCGCGUAGGUGGUUUGUUAAGUUGGAUGUGAAAGCCCCGGGCUCAACCUGGGAACUGCAUCCAAAACUGGCAAGCUAGAGUACGGUAGAGGGUGGUGGAAUUUCCUGUGUAGCGGUGAAAUGCGUAGAUAUAGGAAGGAACACCAGUGGCGAAGGCGACCACCUGGACUGAUACUGACACUGAGGUGCGAAAGCGUGGGGAGCAAACAGGAUUAGAGACCCCUGUAGUCCCUGUCUCUUAUAC